GACGAGUCGAGUUGUUUGGGAAUGCAGCUCAAAAUGGGUGGUAAAUUUCAUCUAAAGCUAAAUACCGGCUGGAGACCGAUAGCGCACAAGUAGAGUGAUCGAAAGAUGAAAAGCACUUUGGAAAGAGAGUUAAAAAGCACGUGAAAUUGUUGAAAGGGAAGCGCUUGCGACCAGACCUGCCCGUUGGCGAUCAACCGCCGUUUUCGGUGGUGCACUCGUCAGCGCGCAGGCCAGCAUCGGUUUGGGCGGUCGGACAAAGGCCUUGGGAAUGUAGCUCCCCUCGGGGAGUCUUAUAGCCCUCGGUGCAAUGCGGCCAGCCCGGAUCGAGGACCGCGCUUCGGCUAGGAUGCUGGCGUAAUAGUUGCAAGCGACCCGUCUUGAAACACGGACCAAGGAGUCUAACAUCUAUGCGAGUGUUUGGGUGUCAAACCCAUGCGCGCAAUGAAAGUGAACGGAGGUGAGAACCCGUUAGGGUGCAUCAUCGACCGAUCCUGAUGUCUUCGGAUGGAUUUGAGUACGAGCAUAGCUGUUGGGACCCGAAAGAUGGUGAACUAUGCCUGAAUAGGGUGAAGCCAGAGGAAACUCUGGUGGAGGCUCGCAGCGGUUCUGACGUGCAAAUCGAUCGUCAAAUUUGGGUAUAGGGGCGAAAGACUAAUCGAA
This 660-nucleotide ribosomal RNA is filed under the name Neoprotoparmelia corallifera. Its description in RNAcentral is "eukaryotic LSU rRNA". It matches the Rfam family "Eukaryotic large subunit ribosomal RNA", at positions 259 to 939 of the family's 3401-position model. The record is from RNAcentral. Lineage: Eukaryota; Fungi; Ascomycota; Lecanoromycetes; Lecanorales; Parmeliaceae.